Molecule: non-coding RNA, 182 nt
Filed under: Bacillus coahuilensis
Lineage: Bacteria; Bacillati; Bacillota; Bacilli; Caryophanales; Bacillaceae
Also listed under: 1 other name
Description: Lysine sequence
Rfam family: Lysine riboswitch aptamer
About the family: Riboswitches are metabolite binding domains within certain messenger RNAs that serve as precision sensors for their corresponding targets.
Source: RNAcentral
CGGUGGGGUAGAGGCGCAGAUAAGAAGAGUAUACUAUGUGAGGAUGACAACUGAGAACAUAGUAGAAAGGAUUAUUUGCCGAAGUUUUAUUAGAUUGUCAAACUAGUAAGACUGGGGUUAUCUUGAAAAAGGGUAACACUGUCAUUGUAAGGGAAUCCUUAUAAUGGGGAGCUACAGAUCGU